ACUUCCCCUUGGCUCUUCCCCCUCCCUCCAACCUGAGCCCCUCAUCCCAUGGAGGACCCUCCCUUCACUCCACUCACUUAGAGGCUGUUCUCACGUUGAUAUCCAAGUCACCCUUGAACACAAACUGACCAGGUUUCCAAUGAAAAGACAGGUGGCUCCACUCCCAGUGCAUAUUUUCAGUUGUGUUGUAUGGAUCCUAUGACCACCCCCGAGAAUUUGGUGAGAUAUAGUGAAAGUCAUGGUAGAAUUUGAGUGGGGGCAUGUUCCUCUCCACUGCCACGUUACCCCACGGAAGCCCCAAGUGCAAGAUCUGACGCCGACGGGAGCAAGGCUGACCACUCUGCUCGGUGCCCACAAGUCGACCCAUUAGCCGCCAGUCACGGAUCUCAAACAGGGGGAAAAGGGCUGCCUGGAUCAAGCUCUUGAACCUGUUCUACCACAUGCUCAGGACCAUGGAAGGAGGCAUCUGCCAGAGCUACCAGUUCUAGCCCUGCUAAGCUCCAAGUAAGCAGUGCCCGGCGCAUGGGUGUGUUGCCAUAGAGACGACGGGAA
This is a long non-coding RNA of Homo sapiens (human), 552 nucleotides long. The record is from Ensembl. Lineage: Eukaryota; Metazoa; Chordata; Mammalia; Primates; Hominidae.